RNAcentral lists this ribosomal RNA (306 nucleotides) under uncultured bacterium. Its description in RNAcentral is "bacterial SSU rRNA". It matches the Rfam family "Bacterial small subunit ribosomal RNA", at positions 211 to 507 of the family's 1533-position model. The record is from RNAcentral.
GCUAUCACUUAUAGAUGGGCCCGCGGCGCAUUAGCUAGUUGGUGAGGUAAUGGCUCACCAAGGCGACGAUGCGGUAGCCGACCUGAGAGGGUGAUCGGCCACACUGGGACUGAGACACGGCCCAGACUCCUACGGGAGGCAGCAGUAGGGAAAACUUCCGCAAUGGACGAAAGUCUGACGGAGCAACGCCGCGUGAGUGAAGAAGGUUUUCGGAUCGUAAAACUCUGUUGUUAGGGAAGAACACGUACGAGAGUAACUGCUCGUACCUUGACGGUACCUAACCAGAAAGCCACGGCUAACUACGUG